GACGAACGCUGGCGGCGUGCUUAACACAUGCAAGUCGAACGGAAAGGCCCUGCUUUUGUGGGGUGCUCGAGUGGCGAACGGGUGAGUAACACGUGAGUAACCUGCCCUUGACUUUGGGAUAACUUCAGGAAACUGGGGCUAAUACCGGAUAGGAGCUCCUGCUGCAUGGUGGGGGUUGGAAAGUUUCGGCGGUUGGGGAUGGACUCGCGGCUUAUCAGCUUGUUGGUGGGGUAGUGGCUUACCAAGGCUUUGACGGGUAGCCGGCCUGAGAGGGUGACCGGCCACAUUGGGACUGAGAUGCGGCCCAGACUCCUACGGGAGGCAGCAGUGGGGAAUAUUGCACAAUGGGCGGAAGCCUGAUGCAGCAACGCCGCGUGCGGGAUGACGGCCUUCGGGUUGCAAACCGCUUUCGCCUGUGACGAAGCGUGAGUGACGGUAAUGGGUAAAGAAGCACCGGCUAACUACGUG
Molecule: ribosomal RNA, 468 nt
Filed under: uncultured bacterium
Lineage: Bacteria
Description: partial 16S ribosomal RNA
Rfam family: Bacterial small subunit ribosomal RNA
Source: RNAcentral